GACGUAGGAUGCGAGCGUUGUCCGGAUUUAUUGGGCGUAAAGGGUUCGUAGGUGGUUUGUUAAGUCUGAUGUUAAAGAUCGGGGCUCAACCCCGAGAGUGCAUUGGAUACUGGCAGACUGGAGUACAGUAGAGGCAAGCGGAAUUCCCAGUGUAGCGGUGAAAUGCGUAGAUAUUGGGAAGAACACCAGUGGCGUAAGCGGCUUGCUGGGCUGUAACUGACACUGAGGAACGAAAGCCAGGGUAGCGAAUGGG
RNAcentral lists this ribosomal RNA (253 nucleotides) under uncultured bacterium. RNAcentral describes it as "partial 16S ribosomal RNA". It matches the Rfam family "Bacterial small subunit ribosomal RNA", at positions 524 to 776 of the family's 1533-position model. The record is from RNAcentral.